This 1065-nucleotide ribosomal RNA is filed under the name Triticum aestivum (bread wheat). Its description in RNAcentral is "partial small subunit ribosomal RNA". The record is from RNAcentral. Lineage: Eukaryota; Viridiplantae; Streptophyta; Magnoliopsida; Poales; Poaceae.
AUGGGGCGAUCGCUAUGCUGUGACAAGGUCGGCCUAAAGAAAGGUCCAUGGACGCCGGAGGAGGACGAGAAGCUUCUUGCCCACAUCGAGGAGCAUGGGCACGGGAGCUGGCGUGCAUUGCCCUCCAAGGCCGGUUUGCAGAGGUGCGGCAAGAGCUGCAGACUGAGAUGGACCAACUACCUGCAGCCGGACAUCAAGAGGGGCAAGUUCAGCUUGCAGGAAGAACAGACCAUCAUCCAGCUUCAUGCUCUUCUCGGCAACAGGUGGUCUGCCAUCGCGACGCACCUGUCGAGGCGCACCGACAACGAGAUCAAGAACUACUGGAACACCCACCUCAAGAAGAGGCUGGCCAAGAUGGGGAUCGACCCCGUCACCCACAAGGCCGCCAGCGGAGCUCCCGUGGGCACCGCAGACGACGUCAGAUCAGCCAAGGCCGCGGCGAGCCUGAGCCACAUGGCCCAGUGGGAGAGCGCCCGGCUCGAGGCCGAGGGGCGCCUGGCUCGAGAAUCCACGAUGCGCGCAGCAGCCUCCAGGCCAACCUCAGUCCCUCUGCACCCAAUAAACCUGCCAGAGCCUGCCGCCUCCCCGUGCCUCGGCCUGCUGCAGCCAUGGCAGGGCGCCGCGAAGCUCGACCUGGAGUCACCCACCUCCACGCUGACGUUCAUCGGUAACAAUAACAGCGUCAGCCUUGGGAUAUCCGAGGGCGACCCCACGACGUGGAGGUUGAGAGGCGAUGAUCCGGAGCGCGAAGAGGACAGUGCGCGCAGGUUCCUCCGCCAGCAGCAGAUGCAAGGGCUGGAAGGCGCGGAGAGGGGAGACGAGCACAUCAUUGGCUGCGGUGAGGAGCCGUGGUUCCAAGAAACCGUUGGCGUCGGGGCCGGCCUCACAGACGUGCUGCUCGCUGGAUCCGGUGUCGGUGCGCACGGUGCACUGGAGUGCUGGGGCGAGUCCGGCAAUGGCCAGGCCGAGCACGGCGGCCAGGUCUCGGGCGACGGAGAGAGCAGCAGCAGCUACUGGAGCGGCAUCCUCGGCAUGGUGGUCAGCUCGGAGCCGCCAUUUCUCUAG